This is a long non-coding RNA of Photinus pyralis (common eastern firefly), 252 nucleotides long. RefSeq lists it as uncharacterized. Lineage: Eukaryota; Metazoa; Arthropoda; Insecta; Coleoptera; Lampyridae. The transcript is spliced from 3 exons. The record is from RefSeq and is a predicted model, not a curated record.
GGGAAAAUAAGUAAUUGCGUUGGCGCUACUUUUCUUAGACAUGUACAAUUUGCAGAAGUUCGUCCUAGUACUUCUCCUGAUCGGGGCCGUUUUCGGAUUUCCUGAACCUGACAAGGUACGCAUACACGUACCCGCCAAGAUAAAGACGAUAUACAAGACUAAGAUAAUAAAAGUACCCGAGCACCAUCAUCAUUACCACGAGAAGUUGAAGGAGGUGCCGAAGUAUGUUGCCAUCUCGAAGGACCACCACGA